CAGUAGCCGCGGGAAUACGUAGGUGGCAAGCGUUGUCCGGAAUUAUUGGGCGUAAAGGGCUCGCAGGCGGUUUCUUAAGUCUGAUGUGAAAGCCCCCGGCUCAACCGGGGAGGGUCAUUGGAAACUGGGAAACUUGAGUGCAGAAGAGGAGAGUGGAAUUCCACGUGUAGCGGUGAAAUGCGUAGAAAUGUGGAGGAACACCAGUGGCGAAGGCGACUCUCUGGUCUGUAACUGACGCUGAGGAGCGAAAGCGUGGGGAGCGAACAGGAUUAGAUACCCCGGUAGUCCCUGUCUCUUAUAC
This 301-nucleotide ribosomal RNA is filed under the name uncultured bacterium. RNAcentral's name for it is "partial 16S ribosomal RNA". It matches the Rfam family "Bacterial small subunit ribosomal RNA", at positions 509 to 807 of the family's 1533-position model. The record is from RNAcentral.